UACAGAGACUGCAAGCGUUAUUCGGAUUCACUGGGCGUAAAGGGCGUGUAGGCGGUCGGCCAAGUCUGGUGUGAAAGCCCGGGGCUCAACCCCGGAAGGGCAUUGGAAACUAGUCGGCUAGAGCGCGAGAGAGGAGGGUGGAAUUCCUGGUGUAGCGGUGAAAUGCGUAGAUAUCAGGAGGAACACCGGCGGCGAAGGCGGCCCUCUGGCUCGUUGCUGACGCUGAGACGCGAAAGCGUGGGGAGCAAACAGG
Molecule: ribosomal RNA, 253 nt
Filed under: uncultured bacterium
Lineage: Bacteria
Description: partial 16S ribosomal RNA
Rfam family: Bacterial small subunit ribosomal RNA
Source: RNAcentral